Pholiota molesta is the source of this 110-nucleotide non-coding RNA. The record is from the annotation of a GenBank genome assembly. Lineage: Eukaryota; Fungi; Basidiomycota; Agaricomycetes; Agaricales; Strophariaceae.
UCGGGUAUGGUGUAACGGCUAACAUUGCCGCCUCUCAUGUUGUGUACACGUAUGGCGAUGUCUUAACGAGAGUUCCGCGGCAGCUCGGGGUUCGAUUCCCCGUACCCGAA